UAAUGCUUGGCUUGCACAGAAUCAAUACCGCGGUUGAUUUCCUUUAAAUUGUGCUUAAGCUUUAUUU
Drosophila grimshawi is the source of this 67-nucleotide non-coding RNA. The record is from Rfam. NCBI's taxonomy places the organism in Eukaryota, Metazoa, Arthropoda, Insecta, Diptera, Drosophilidae.